Molecule: long non-coding RNA, 444 nt
Filed under: Numida meleagris (helmeted guineafowl)
Lineage: Eukaryota; Metazoa; Chordata; Aves; Galliformes; Numididae
Description: lncRNA (ENSNMEG00000002533.1)
Source: RNAcentral
UUCAAAUUAGCGGUUUGAUUUAUUUUUUUUUCUCACCAAACAAAUGUCCUAAUCAAUGCACUGUGGAAUAUUCCACUGGGAGUUUAAUUUCAUCUGUACUUUCGGAGGGGAGAAAAACAUGGUUGCAGUGCAAGGUGGGAAAAUCAAUUAAAUCUUGAUUUUCAUGAGACAGCAACAGCUGUUUCUCAUUCGGAUCUAGCCCUCCGCACUAUAAGCAAUGGAAUACUUUGGUUCAGAGUUGUAUGGUUUUGAUGUAGGGGGAGAAUCAAGAGAAUAAAAGUGCGGUGGAAGCCGGCCACACUUCUUUCUGUCUUUCCCAGACUGAUGCUCAGGUGAAUGAGGCAAAUACGCAGCAGGAUGCGUAGUGCAUGUCACCUGUAUCUUCAUACACAACCAGAGAAACUUCUUAAAGGGCUAUUUUUGCAGAUGAAAAGAUCUGUGUAA